AGUUGGUGGAUUGAUUUGUCUGGUUUAUUCCGAUAACGAACGAGACUCCAUCCUACUAAAUAGUGGCGAGAUCAUUGUGUCUCUGUCACUUCUUAGAGGGACAAGCGGUGUUCAGCCGCAUGAAAAGGAGCAAUAACAGGU
This 141-nucleotide ribosomal RNA is filed under the name Metazoa environmental sample. Its description in RNAcentral is "partial small subunit ribosomal RNA". It matches the Rfam family "Eukaryotic small subunit ribosomal RNA", at positions 1296 to 1461 of the family's 1831-position model. The record is from RNAcentral. Lineage: Eukaryota; Metazoa.